This 1472-nucleotide ribosomal RNA is filed under the name Priestia megaterium. RNAcentral describes it as "bacterial SSU rRNA". It matches the Rfam family "Bacterial small subunit ribosomal RNA". The record is from RNAcentral. Lineage: Bacteria; Bacillati; Bacillota; Bacilli; Caryophanales; Bacillaceae.
AACUGAUUAGAAGCUUGCUUCUAUGACGUUAGCGGCGGACGGGUGAGUAACACGUGGGCAACCUGCCUGUAAGACUGGGAUAACUUCGGGAAACCGAAGCUAAUACCGGAUAGGAUCUUCUCCUUCAUGGGAGAUGAUUGAAAGAUGGUUUCGGCUAUCACUUACAGAUGGGCCCGCGGUGCAUUAGCUAGUUGGUGAGGUAACGGCUCACCAAGGCAACGAUGCAUAGCCGACCUGAGAGGGUGAUCGGCCACACUGGGACUGAGACACGGCCCAGACUCCUACGGGAGGCAGCAGUAGGGAAUCUUCCGCAAUGAACGAAAAGUUCUGACCGAAGCCAACGCCGGCCUGGAGUGAAUGAAGGCCUUUCCGGGUUCGUAAAAACUUCUGUGGGUUAGGGAAGGAACCAAGUACCGAGGAGUAAACUGCCUUGUACCCUGGAACGGUACCUUAACCCAGAAAAGCCCACGGCUAAAUUACGUGCCCAGCAGCCGGCGGUAAUACGUAGGUGGCAAGCGUUAUCCGGAAAUUAUUGGGCGUAAAGCGCGCGCAGGCGGUUUUUUAAGUCUGAUGUGAAAGCCCCCGGGUUCAACCGUGGAGGGUCAUUGGAAACUGGGGAACUUGAGUGCAGAAGAGAAAAGCGGAAUUCCACGUGUAGCGGUGAAAUGCGUAGAGAUGUGGAGGAACACCAGUGGCGAAGGCGGCUUUUUGGUCUGUAACUGACGCUGAGGCGCGAAAGCGUGGGGAGCAAACAGGAUUAGAUACCCUGGUAGUCCACGCCGUAAACGAUGAGUGCUAAGUGGUUAAAGGGUUUCCGCCCCUUUAGUGCUGCAGCUAACGCAUUAAGCACUCCGCCUGGGGGAGUACGGUCGCAAGACUGAAACUCAAAGGAAUUGACGGGGGCCCGCACAAGCGGUGGAACCUGGGGGUUUAAUUCGAAGCAACGCCGAAGAACCUUACCAAGGUCUUGGACAUCCUUCUGACAACUUCUAGAGAAUGGAGCGUUUCCCCUUUCGGGGGGAACGAAGUGACCAAGGUGGUGGCAUGGGUUGUCCGUCAGCCUCCUUGUCCUGGAAAAUGUUUGGGUUUAAAGUCGCAACGAGCGCAACCCUUGAUCUUAGUUGCCAGCAUUUAGUUGGGCACUCUAAGGUGACUGCCGGUGACAAACCGGAGGAAGGUGGGGAUGACGUCAAAUCAUCAUGCCCCUUAUGACCUGGGCUACACACGUGCUACAAUGGAUGGUACAAAGGGCUGCAAGACCGCGAGGUCAAGCCAAUCCCAUAAAACCAUUCUCAGUUCGGAUUGUAGGCUGCAACUCGCCUACAUGAAGCUGGAAUCGCUAGUAAUCGCGGAUCAGCAUGCCGCGGUGAAUACGUUCCCGGGCCUUGUACACACCGCCCGUCACACCACGAGAGUUUGUAACACCCGAUAGCCGGUGGAGUAACCGUAUAGGAGGUAGCCGAUCUAAGCUG